GCUCCUGUAGCCCAAUUGGAAGAGGUGGCAGACUUAAAAUCUGUUUGUUGUGGGUUCGACUCCCACCAGGAGUACCA
This 77-nucleotide transfer RNA is filed under the name Nostoc sp. Its description in RNAcentral is "tRNA-Leu". It matches the Rfam family "tRNA". Rfam says of the family: Transfer RNA (tRNA) molecules are approximately 80 nucleotides in length. Their secondary structure includes four short double-helical elements and three loops (D, anti-codon, and T loops). The record is from RNAcentral. RNAcentral also lists the same sequence under 1 other name. Lineage: Bacteria; Bacillati; Cyanobacteriota; Cyanophyceae; Nostocales; Nostocaceae.